CGCUUCUGUUCUCUCUCAUCUCUCUGAGUCUCUCCAUCUCUCUCGAUCUCCCAUCUCUCUCGUUCUCCAUCUCUCUCCAUCUCAGUCUCUCUCUCCAUCACGGCUCUCUCUCCAUCUCAGGCUCUCUCUCCAUCUCAGGCUCUCUCUCUAUCUCAGGCUCUCCAUCUCUCUCCAUCACGGCUCUCCAUCUAUCUCCAUCAGUUUGAAUGUGUUUAAGCCUUUGUUUACAAAUUACUUAGAGGAAGCUUUACUGUUAGGGUUGGCUAGUGAUAGAGUAAAGGUGUAAACUUGUUGAUUAUUUGAGACGUGUUCUUGUUGUGAGGAUAUUUUCAGGAGAGUGGAUGAUGAUGAUGUAGAGAACAUCCUUACACCACUAAAGCUGGGGAAUGUAAAGAACAGAGGACAUGAGCGGUUACUGCAGCAAAUCAGAACAAACCCACCAUCUCCUCAGUGCUUCUCUGAGAACCAGACAGCUUCUUUGAAGGCCUUGGCGACCGAACAUACGGUUGAAAAAGUGGUGAAGAGAAAGGAGGAAGGAGAGCAGGUCAGAGACAGUAACAACAACAAAGAAGGGAGGGGCUUGGACGUUCUAUGGUUCUUAAAGCCUUGCUCUAUGGCCAACUAAAUUCUUUUACCAAAUACGUUUUUUUAUAUCUGAUUCAUUCUUUUGUUAAAGUUCAUUUUUAUUAAAUUGUAACUGAUGAUCUUGCUCAGAUUCAUCAUGUAACUCUGAGCAAUUUGUAUCAUUCAAUCUCACCUUUACAUACAAUAAAUAAAGUUAAUUGUCAGUUAAA
Long non-coding RNA from Raphanus sativus (radish), 794 nucleotides. RefSeq lists it as uncharacterized. The record is from RefSeq and is a predicted model, not a curated record. NCBI's taxonomy places the organism in Eukaryota, Viridiplantae, Streptophyta, Magnoliopsida, Brassicales, Brassicaceae. The transcript has 2 exons.